GACGCAUCCGAGGGGUGUGUCCGUGACACUGAGAUGGCCGAUGGCCGAACCCUUGAACCUGAUCCGGGUUAUGCCGGCGUAGGAACGGAGUUUGGUCUUGAG
This 102-nucleotide non-coding RNA is filed under the name Martelella mediterranea. RNAcentral describes it as "TPP sequence". It matches the Rfam family "TPP riboswitch aptamer (THI element)". Rfam says of the family: Vitamin B(1) in its active form thiamin pyrophosphate (TPP) is an essential coenzyme that is synthesised by coupling of pyrimidine and thiazole moieties in bacteria. The previously detected thiamin-regulatory element, thi box was extended, resulting in a new, highly conserved RNA secondary structure, the THI element, which is widely distributed in eubacteria and also occurs in some archaea. Analysis of operon structures identified a large number of new candidate thiamin-regulated genes, mostly transporters, in various prokaryotic organisms. RNAcentral also lists the same sequence under 1 other name. Lineage: Bacteria; Pseudomonadati; Pseudomonadota; Alphaproteobacteria; Hyphomicrobiales; Aurantimonadaceae. The record is from RNAcentral.